AGAGCGAACGCUGGCGGCAGGCCUAAUACAUGCAAGUCGAACGGAUCCUUCGGGAUUAGUGGCGGACGGGUGAGUAACACGUGGGAACGUGCCCUUUGGUUCGGAACAACUCAGGGAAACUUGAGCUAAUACCGGAUGUGCCCUUCGGGGGAAAGAUUUAUCGCCAUUGGAGCGGCCCGCGUCUGAUUAGCUUGUUGGUGGGGUAAAGGCCCACCAAGGCUACGAUCAGUAGCUGGUCUGAGAGGAUGAUCAGCCACACUGGGACUGAGACACGGCCCAGACUCCUACGGGAGGCAGCAGUAGGGAAUCUUGCGCAAUGGGCGAAAGCCUGACGCAGCCAUGCCGCGUGAAUGAUGAAGGUCUUAGGAUUGUAAAAUUCUUUCAGCGGGGACGAUAAUGACGGUACCGCAGAAGAAGCUCCGGCUAACUUCGUGCCAGCAGCCGC
This 445-nucleotide ribosomal RNA is filed under the name uncultured bacterium. RNAcentral describes it as "SSU rRNA". It matches the Rfam family "Bacterial small subunit ribosomal RNA", at positions 26 to 518 of the family's 1533-position model. The record is from RNAcentral.